This 497-nucleotide ribosomal RNA is filed under the name uncultured bacterium. RNAcentral's name for it is "partial 16S ribosomal RNA". It matches the Rfam family "Bacterial small subunit ribosomal RNA", at positions 28 to 507 of the family's 1533-position model. The record is from RNAcentral.
GACGAACGCUGGCGGCGUGCCUAAUACAUGCAAGUCGAGCGCUGAAGGCUGGUACUUGUACCAACCGGAAGAGCAGCGAACGGGAGAGUAACGCGUGGGGAAUCUGCCUUUGAGCGGGGGACAACAUGUGGAAACGAAUGAUAAUACCGCAUAAAAACUUUAAACACAAGUUUUAAGUUUGAAAUAUGCAAUUGCAUCAUUCAAAGAUGAUCCCGCGUUGUAUUAGUGAGUUGGUGAGGUAUAAGCUCACCAAGGCGGUGAUACAUAGCCGACCUGAGAGGGCGAGCAGCCAGAGUGGGACUGUGACAGGGCACAAACGCCUACGGGUAGCAGCAGUAGGGAAUCUGCGGGAAUGGGCGAGAGUCUGACCGAGCUGCGCCGCGGGAGUGAGGAAGGUUUUCGGGUCGUAGAUCUCUGUUGGUAGAGAAGAACGUUGGUGAGAGUGUGAAGCUGAGCGAGUGACGGUAAUUACUCAGAAAGCAACGGCUAACUACGUG